Rhincodon typus (whale shark) is the source of this 368-nucleotide long non-coding RNA. RefSeq lists it as uncharacterized. The record is from RefSeq and is a predicted model, not a curated record. The transcript is spliced from 3 exons. Lineage: Eukaryota; Metazoa; Chordata; Chondrichthyes; Orectolobiformes; Rhincodontidae.
AUGGAAAAGUGAGCCGCAAUGAGUUUCUUCUUGGCUUAUUUCGGCAUGGAUCUGCUGCUUCAGUCCCUUCCACACCCUGCAAGCAGAAGUAUCAUUUCCAUCAGAACUUUAAGGAGAACAGAUGCAGAACAGCAAUUCCAUCCUUGAUGUCCAGCACUGUUGGUUUGCAGCUGUUUUCUGGUCUUGAUGAUGGCACUGGUCAUGCAACACCAGAACAAAUAAUCAGCAUGUGGCAAGAAGGUGGAAUUAAAAACAGUCAGCAGAUACUAGAGACAUUAGAUUUUGAUGUGGAACAGAAGGUGAAUCUUGCAGAGCUGACCAAAGCACUCAACAAUGAAUUAUUGACCAGCAAAAAUGGAAUUCAUCAG